This 89-nucleotide microRNA precursor is filed under the name Cricetulus griseus (Chinese hamster). RNAcentral describes it as "mir-344". Lineage: Eukaryota; Metazoa; Chordata; Mammalia; Rodentia; Cricetidae. The record is from RNAcentral.
UCUGGACAUCUUUAUAGUCAGGCUUUGGCUAAAUUCCCGCUAAGGGCUGGAAUUUAGCCAGGAGCCUGACUGGAAAAAUCUUACAGUGC